This 22-nucleotide non-coding RNA is filed under the name Arabidopsis thaliana (thale cress). The record is from RNAcentral. Lineage: Eukaryota; Viridiplantae; Streptophyta; Magnoliopsida; Brassicales; Brassicaceae.
AGGUGUCGAUGCCCAUGGGCGA